CGGAGAGUAGCUCAGCCGGAAUGAGCAGUGGGUUGAAAAUCCACGUGUCGGGGGUUCGAGUCCCUCCUCUCCGG
Molecule: transfer RNA, 74 nt
Filed under: Calditrichota bacterium
Lineage: Bacteria; Pseudomonadati; Calditrichota
Description: Calditrichaeota bacterium (activated sludge metagenome) tRNA-Phe
Rfam family: tRNA
About the family: Transfer RNA (tRNA) molecules are approximately 80 nucleotides in length. Their secondary structure includes four short double-helical elements and three loops (D, anti-codon, and T loops). Further hydrogen bonds mediate the characteristic L-shaped molecular structure. tRNAs have two regions of fundamental functional importance: the anti-codon, which is responsible for specific mRNA codon recognition, and the 3' end, to which the tRNAs corresponding amino acid is attached (by aminoacyl-tRNA synthetases). tRNAs cope with the degeneracy of the genetic code in two manners: having more than one tRNA (with a specific anti-codon) for a particular amino acid; and 'wobble' base-pairing, i.e. permitting non-standard base-pairing at the 3rd anti-codon position.
Source: RNAcentral